RNAcentral lists this ribosomal RNA (1035 nucleotides) under Triticum aestivum (bread wheat). Its description in RNAcentral is "partial small subunit ribosomal RNA". Lineage: Eukaryota; Viridiplantae; Streptophyta; Magnoliopsida; Poales; Poaceae. The record is from RNAcentral.
AUGGAAGGCCAAGUGCAGCAGUUUGUGACUCUUCGCUUUGGUGAACUUUGGCUUGAUGUGCCAAUUGGUCCUAUCAUGACCUCACUAAGUGAAAGUUGGAAGACUGCUGCUGCAUCUCCAGUUGUACCAGAUCAAGAAGAAGUCACUUCUCCACCAAUGGAGGGGUUCACACCUGUUUUGUCAAAGUCUACAAAGAGGAAAAUGAGGGCUGCUAGAAAGAGGGUUGCUCAGAGUUCUCCAAGAGGGGUUACUCAUGCUCCUGUGUCAGUAAUGAAAGGAAAGAUUGUUGAAGCUAGAAAGAGGGUUGCUCAGAGUUCUCCAAGAGGGGUUACUCAUGCUCCUGACAAGGGAAAGAAAGUGGUGUUUGAGAAAUCUGAGUUUCCGCCACUUGUUUACAAGGGAAAAGAGAAGAUGGUGGAGACACCCAACUCCAAGCUACAUGGGAAAAGAGGCGGCGUUGUGGUCAUAUUGUCUUCAGCGUCGUCUUCAGGAAGGCCCACCAACGCUCAGAAUAUACUUCGAGCCGAUGCUCCUGAGUUUGUCCCCUCACUGACCCAUAAACCUACACCGUCAGUUCCUCUGUUUGAAGAAGCACCCAUCUUACGAGAGUCCUUUGAAGGUUUGUUUGAUCCAGUGCGACAUCAACGGAGACAGAGAAAUGUAUGUCGAUCUUGGAUUAAUCUUCCAGCUGCCGUAGAUCAAGAUGCGGUGAGACGACACCGUUCUCAUGUGAGCAAGUCUGUCAAGGGGAGAUGGAAAAACACUCGUCCAAAGAUCCAAGUUCAGAAUCCAGAUGACUCGUCACAGCUUCCCGGGGCAUCCACAUCACAAAACGAUGAGGGUGGUGCCAUCAUGCGACUAGCGGAGGCCCUGGCCCAACGACCUAAGUACCAAGAGUUCAUUCAGCAACAUCCUGAACAUCAAGAAAAGGCGGCGUACAAAGAAAGAAAGAGGGCAGUACGUGCAAGGCAUGGGUCAAGCAGAGUCCAUGGGGCGGAACACAUUCCAUCGGAUGAGGACAGUCGGGCUAAAGUC